CUUGCUGGAUGCUGACGAGCGGCGGACGGGUGAGUAAUGCAUAGGAAUCUGCCCGAUAGUGGGGGAUAACCUGGGGAAACCCAGGCUAAUACCGCAUACGUCCUACGGGAGAAAGGGGGCUCCGGCUCCCGCUAUGGGAUGAGCCUAUGUCGGAUUAGCUAGUUGGUGAGGUAACGGCUCACCAAGGCCACGAUCCGUAGCUGGUCUGAGAGGAUGAUCAGCCACAUCGGGACUGAGACACGGCCCGAACUCCUACGGGAGGCAGCAGUGGGGAAUAUUGGACAAUGGGGGAAACCCUGAUCCAGCCAUGCCGCGUGUGUGAAGAAGGCCCUCGGGUUGUAAAGCACUUUCAGCGAGGAAGAACGCCUAGCGGUUAAUACCCGCUAGGAAAGACAUCACUCGCAGAAGAAGCACCGGCUAACUCCGUGCCAGCAGCCGCGGUAAUACGGAGGGUGCAAGCGUUAAUCGGAAUUACUGGGCGUAAAGCGCGCGUAGGUGGCUUGAUAAGCCGGUUGUGAAAGCCCCGGGCUCAACCUGGGAACGGCAUCCGGAACUGUCAAGCUAGAGUGCAGGAGAGGAAGGUAGAAUUCCCGGUGUAGCGGUGAAAUGCGUAGAGAUCGGGAGGAAUACCAGUGGCGAAGGCGGCCUUCUGGACUGACACUGACACUGAGGUGCGAAAGCGUGGGUAGCAAACAGGAUUAGAUACCCUGGUAGUCCACGCCGUAAACGAUGUCGACCAGCCGUUGGGUGCCUAGCGCACUUUGUGGCGAAGUUAACGCGAUAAGUCGACCGCCUGGGGAGUACGGCCGCAAGGUUAAAACUCAAAUGAAUUGACGGGGGCCCGCACAAGCGGUGGAGCAUGUGGUUUAAUUCGAUGCAACGCGAAGAACCUUACCUACUC
This 901-nucleotide ribosomal RNA is filed under the name uncultured bacterium. RNAcentral describes it as "bacterial SSU rRNA". It matches the Rfam family "Bacterial small subunit ribosomal RNA", at positions 77 to 980 of the family's 1533-position model. The record is from RNAcentral.